UACAGAGGUCUCAAGCGUUGUUCGGAAUUACUGGGCGUAAAGGGCUCGUAGGCGGCCAACUAAGUCGGACGUGAAAUCCCUCAGCUUAACUGGGGAACUGCGUCCGAUACUGGAUGGCUUGGAUUUGGGAGAGGGAUGCGGAAUUCCAGGUGUAGCGGUGAAAUGCGUAGAUAUCUGGAGGAACACCGGUGGCGAAGGCGGCAUCCUGGACCAAUAUUGACGCUGAGGAGCGAAAGCCAGGGGAGCAAACGGG
RNAcentral lists this ribosomal RNA (253 nucleotides) under uncultured bacterium. RNAcentral's name for it is "partial 16S ribosomal RNA". It matches the Rfam family "Bacterial small subunit ribosomal RNA", at positions 524 to 776 of the family's 1533-position model. The record is from RNAcentral.